UGACUUUUACAGCAGCCAGUGGUAUCUGCCCAAGUAAGCAAAGGCUUGGAUCCUGUUUCUUUCUCAGCUGACUCAUUUUAUCCCAAGAUUUCCCAUUGCAAUUAUCUGAGCACCACUGAACUGGAGGAGUGGAAAAGAGUGGAGAAACCUGGACAUUUUAUCUCUGGGAAUUUUUCAGUCUAGAAAUUUAAGAAUGGUGUUAAAAGGAAAUCUGAUCCAAUGUAUCUUAACCUGCUGCAAAAAAAAAAAAAAAAGAAAGAAAGAAAAAAUUUCAUCUUUGCAGCUUCCUGCACACCAGACAACAUCUCUGUCAUUAUGUUAUGAAGGCAUCACUCUAUCAGCUGUAAGAGUGCUACUGGAGGAUUGAUGUAACUUGCUUCCAGUGGCAUUUUCAAAGGUCCAGUUGUACCUUUAGGACCAAAUUUUCGUGGAGCAAUGCUAAACUUGCCUGCAGAAAUCUACCUUCAUAUUUUCUCAAGAAGAUGGAUUUGACUCCAGUAAAAUUAUCACCAGUGUGGCAUGUAGAAGUUAUACUUUCUUUACUGUAGCCUGGGAUUAAGGGAGUCUGAAUUAAAUCUACAUGUUUUUUUAUGAGAGAAAGUCAACUCUCUACUUUUUUGAAAAUUUAGCUCUUAAUGUACAUUUGGCUCUCAAGGGGAAACUCAGGCAUCACCGUGUAUUUCCUAAAUUAAUCCAAUUAUAAUGAUUUCUAUAUUUAACGAUGAGCCACAAAUGUUUUUAAUCACGCUUUGUUCCCUGUGGUACAGCUUACACAAUACCAUUGCCUGCAUGCUAAAGAAUAGCAUAAAAAUACUCUUGUACACUAAUGGAAUACCUGGCAGUGUGAGGAAUUCAUCUUCAAAGAUCAAACCACUUUCUGAAAGGGCAGAAGCCACAGAUUUGGAACCAAACAAAAGUCUGUUUCACUCAUGUUUUCUUUGGCUUUCUCUACCCAGCCAAAUUGGAUAGUUCCAAUAAAAAAGUAUCCACCUUGGGGCCUAAAAUUAUACCCUUAAAAUUAACAGGAUAAUUAUCCACUCUGUAUUCCUCUUUUUCUCUGAAGAUACAACCAUUGUCUUAUGGCUUCAGGAAAAACAUUACUGAGAAUUUCAUAGAAAAAAAAAGCAUUUAUCAGCGUUGGGAUCUCCCUUCAUUACCUUGAGGCAUGUUUCCAAGAAUUUGGGCCCCAGAAUUGAGAAACCAGAUAUAUGACCUGGGAUCUUCACCCCUUCAAAAAAAAAAAUCAGAAGUCAUUUAAUAUCACUUUUCCAUUGUGAUUUAUGUACACUUGUGUGCAAGUGUCAUUAGAAAUGAAGUUUUACAUAAGUGGAAAUAUGUAGAAUUAAUCCAGUGUGUUCAAUAAUGUGUUUGACAUAGGUUAUCUAGGAAUUCCAGGGGUGUGUUGGGGUACAACCUUAGUCAUGCAUGCUCAAUGGAAGCCUUGGUUCUUAAACUUUUGAAUAUUCUUCAACAAAAAAAUCAUUGACAACAAUCUGGCACUGCUAUAACAAUGUACCACAAACUGAAUCCUUAUAAAUCAGAAAUGUAUUAUCUCACAGUUGUGAAGUCUACAAUUCUGAAAUCUAGUUGUCAGCAGAACUGGUUUCUUCUGACAGGUGUCAGAGGGAUGAUUCUGCUGCAUGCCCCUUUCAUCGCUUCUGAUGACCUCAGGAAUUCCUUGGUUUGUCAAGGUGCCUCCCAUGUCAUUACUUUCUCUGUGCUCUCAAACUAUCCAUGUGUGUAAAUUUCUCCUUUUUCUGUGAAUACCAGUCAUGUUGAAUUCAGACUCACUCUAAUGAUCUCCUCUUAACUUGACCCUGUACAAAGACUCUUUCCAAAUAAGGUCACAUUUAGAGAUUUUAGUUUAGGGCUUUAGUAGCUGUUGUGGGUGGGGACUGCACAAUUUCACCUAAAAUAGGAAUUUAAAGUUUCAAAAACAUCAAUGAUUUCUUCAAACAGAAUUAUGUUUUUGUUUUUUUUUUCACUACAAAACAUCAUCAGUCCUUGACUGAGUCGUAUGUGUUGAGAUGGGUGAUUUUUAAUUAACUAACAGUUGGGACAGUGGGUAAACAAGUUAAGGAGAGUUGGCAGUGGAGGAAGCAUUUAGUACCUCCUGAAGGUGAGCAUCAAAACCUCAAUCAAGGGAAGCAUGUGUGUUUUCGAUAAUUAUGUUAAACAUUAGAAUUUUGUAGCUGAAAGGAAAGAAAUUACCUGUAAUAUUAAAAAGUAAAUGCUCAUUCAAGUAUUGUUGCCUGUUAGGAAGAAGUAAAAGAUACUCAUAACAGAGGGACAUUUGGACAUACAGGUUGAGAAGGAAGACAUUGCAAACACAUGGAAAACUUCUCCAAUGUGGGUUGGGGGAGAAAGUGAGACUAGAAUCCACACAGCCAUUUCUAUGAAAGAAAAGGGACUUCUCAACACUUAAACACUACCAGUAUAAUAACAAUUUACUAAAAGUACACAUGCAUCAUUACCCCCUCUGUGAUGGGAAGCAUGAGGGUUUGGGAACUAAAUAUGAUGCACUUCAGUAAACUCAGUCUGAUCCCAUUUGGGCAGCUUAGUCUGUUCAGUAAAUGUUGAGAUUUUCAGAUUGCCUUUUCUCCCCAUUGCUCUUUGGGAUGAUGUCUGAGUUUAUAGCAACCAAGGAUGAUUCUAUGACCACAUAGAACUUUCAUACGUUGAAACUUAAUUGUCAAUGUAAUAGUAUUAAGUGUCAAUACCUUUAGGAGGUGAUUAAAUCACGAGGGCUCUGCCCUCCUGUGUGGGAUUAAUGGCUUGCAAAACAGGUUCUCACAGCAUUCACCCCCUUUGCCCUUCUGCCUUCUGCUAUGUAAGGACACAGUGUUCAAGAUGCCACCUUGAGCAAAAACUGGGCCCUCACUGGACAACAAACCUGUUGGUUCCUUGAUCUUGGACUUCCCAGCCUCCAAAAUUGUGAGCAAUAAAUGUGUUCUUUGUAUGUUACUCAGUCUCAGUAAUUUUGUUAUAGUAUCAAGAAUGGACAAAGACAGAGGCUCCCAAGCUUACCUGUAGAUCAAGGAGACCUCAGACACCUGGCAUUCUCCAGAUCAUUUUGCUAUGAUUUACUGCAAGCUCUGGAUUUUUAGCUACUAAUGACUGAGACAAUUGCUGGCAUUCUGGGAUUCUGUGCAAGACUCAGCUGAUAAUUUUCAGUCACCAUUCCCUAAAAAUAAUGUCCUCCCUGUCUUGAUUCCAGUUCUCUAAUGAUCUACCAGUUUUCAUGGCACCUCUGCAUACUAUCAACAGAUGUCCGGCAACGUGUUGGGAAUAUCCACAUCUGAGCUGUCUCCUUCAAUUGGGUUUUGGCAACCUAUGGCCUCUGAGCCCAACCCAGUCUGCUACUUGAUUU
Molecule: long non-coding RNA, 3370 nt
Organism: Marmota monax (woodchuck)
Lineage: Eukaryota; Metazoa; Chordata; Mammalia; Rodentia; Sciuridae
Exons: 3
Source: RefSeq, a predicted model, not a curated record